This 485-nucleotide long non-coding RNA is filed under the name Mytilus galloprovincialis (Mediterranean mussel). The record is from RNAcentral. Lineage: Eukaryota; Metazoa; Mollusca; Bivalvia; Mytilida; Mytilidae.
UGUCAUUGUUUUCUGUUUUAUCAUAUUUUUUUAUUUACUCUUUUGUUUCUUAAUCAAGCUCUUAGUUUUCUCAUUUGAAUUGUAUUACAUAUGAUCAGGUUGGGAUCUUUUAUAGCUUUCUAUACACUACUGUAUGGAUUUCCCUCAUUUUUAAAAGGCAUAUAGUUGUUUGCAUAUAUGUAAUUUUAUCUCUGGUGCAUAGUUCUUUUUUUAUUUUUUUUUUUAUAUUAUUUAUAAUUGAAUUCACUUCAAAUGAAAACAAAUACAUUGUAUCUAUAAGAAGUUUGAAAUUGGUAAACCGUUGCAAAAUUAUUUUGAAAGAACAGUAUGUGAAACAAUACUUAAAAAUUGCUUUGUUUUGAAACCACAUAUUAAACAGGAUUCUGUGAGUAUUGCAUGGCAAUACAUAGACCCCUACCAGUUAAAAUUCUUUGUAAUGGAAAUUCAACUUGAUCUAUUACUUGUCAUUGUGUACACUACAUAAA